AUUGAACGCUGGCGGCAGGCCUAACACAUGCAAGUCGAGCGCGAAAGUUCUUCGGAAUGAGUAAAGCGGCGGACGGGUGAGUAAUACAUGGGAAUCUGCCUGGUAGUGGGGGACAACGUUUCGAAAGGAACGCUAAUACCGCAUACGCCCUACGGGGAAGGGGGGAGUCUUCGGACCUCUCGCUAUCAGAUGAGCCCAUG
This 200-nucleotide ribosomal RNA is filed under the name uncultured bacterium. Its description in RNAcentral is "partial 16S ribosomal RNA". It matches the Rfam family "Bacterial small subunit ribosomal RNA", at positions 30 to 235 of the family's 1533-position model. The record is from RNAcentral.